AAAAAGACAAAUCCUAAAUUUUCGUGUCCAAUUUUGACUGUCCGUCUUGUAUAAAUUUUUUUAUAAUUCGUAUUUUUAUUAUUGUUAGAUGAUAAAACAUGAUUAAUAUUUUAUGCGUGACUUAUCUUUCUAUAUUUCUUUUUAUAUUUUUUUCAAAUAAAAUGGAUGGUCAAACGUUGGACACGAAUACCAGAGUUGUCUUUUUU
Oryza barthii is the source of this 206-nucleotide non-coding RNA. NCBI's taxonomy places the organism in Eukaryota, Viridiplantae, Streptophyta, Magnoliopsida, Poales, Poaceae. The record is from Rfam.